RNAcentral lists this ribosomal RNA (352 nucleotides) under uncultured bacterium. RNAcentral's name for it is "bacterial SSU rRNA". It matches the Rfam family "Bacterial small subunit ribosomal RNA", at positions 28 to 363 of the family's 1533-position model. The record is from RNAcentral.
GAUGAACGCUAGCUACAGGCUUAACACAUGCAAGUCGAGGGGAAACGAUAUUGGAAGCUUGCUUCUGAUAGGCGUCGACCGGCGCACGGGUGAGUAACCGGUAUCCAACCUGCCCAUCACUUGGGGAUAACCUUGCGAAAGUAAGACUAAUACCCAAUGACGUCUCUAGAAGACAUCUGAAAGAGAUUAAAGAUUUAUCGGUGAUGGAUGGGGGAUGCCGUCUAGAUUAGCUAGUUGGCAGGGCAACGGCCUACCAAGGCGACGAUCAGUAGCCGACCUGAGGAGGGUGACCGGCCACAUUGGGACUGAGACACGGCCCAAACUCCGUACGGGAGGCAGCAGGUGGGGAAUA